RNAcentral lists this ribosomal RNA (408 nucleotides) under uncultured bacterium. Its description in RNAcentral is "partial 16S ribosomal RNA". It matches the Rfam family "Bacterial small subunit ribosomal RNA", at positions 28 to 526 of the family's 1533-position model. The record is from RNAcentral.
GACGAACGCUGGCGGCGUGCUUAACACAUGCAAGUCGAACGAAGUGGCGAACGGGUGAGUAACGCGUAAUCAACCUGCCCUUCAGAGGGGGAAAACAGGUGGAAACGACUGCUAAUACCGCAUACGGAAGGAGGGGAUUGCGGCUGAUUAGCUAGUUGGAGGGGUAACGGCCCACCAAGGCGAUGCGCAGUAGCCGGUCUGGGAGGGUGGACGGCAACAUUCGGACUUGGACCAUGCCCAGACUCCUACGGGAGGCAGCAGUGGUGAAUCUUCCGCAAUGGACGAAAGUCUGACGGAGCAACGCCGCGUGAGUGAUGACUGCCUUCGGGUUGUAAAGCUCUGUUAAUCGGGACGCGGUACCGGAAUAGAAAGCCACGGCUAACUACGUGCCAGCAGCCGCGGUAAUUC